ACAAUCCAAACGAUGGACGAUUCAGCAGGAUUUUGCAAGCAAUUGCAAAAGCUUCUUUCACCAUUGACAAUGAUCAAUCAAAGGUAUGUACAAGCUUCCAGUUUUGAUGAAUUGUUUGUUUUUUCAUUUCCAACUGUAUUAUGCUGGUAUAGCGUUUUGUUUCAUCCACUUUACUCUAAUGUCUUUUGAUAUCUUUUUCAUAUCAGUGCUAUAGUUUGGUUGAUUCAUCAUUUUACAGAUGUUAUGGAAGGGAACUGACACAAUUAUGACACUUGAUUGAUUUUAACAAAAAGGAAAACUUCAUCUUCUUUCAAGUUAACCAUUAGGACCAACAAUUAAUUGUUGGCUGGGAAGAGCUUCAUCGCUACUACAACAUGACACCAAAUCACUCCAUUUACUUUCAUUAUUUAGGUAGAUACAAGGAAAACUCAGUCUUCAAUAUCACAAUUUUCAAGCAAGAACAGGUGACAGAAGACAUCCCACAACCGAUUCAACCACAACAACCUAUUCAACUGUAACCGAUUUAACCCCCUGCAGAAUCAUGGGUACAUGACAACAUACAGUGGGAAGUUACACUCACUGAUUAUAAAUCCAGAGAAAGUCAAUUGGUUUGAUCUUAUCUUAUUUCAUGUUUUCACCAUUGCAUUUUCCUUUAAAAUUGGUUUACUUAUAACAUUGUCUCUUUCAUUCGGAAACAACAUUUUGCAGAGUCUAUCGAAGGAUAUUGCAAAUGUAUUGAAAUUGUGGAAUCUACAGUCCCUUAUCCUGUUUUUCAACAACAAUGAAAAUGGGAUCCACUGCAAGUUGAGUAUUCGCUACACCCAUAGCAAAACUGUCAUGAUAGCUAAAGGAUAUAAGGAAUUUUGCACAACCGACAACAUUUUGAAGGACAUGACACUUUGAUUUGAUUUCAAUCACGCCAACAACAACAGGGUCUAUGUCACUCAACUUUGAUAAUUAAAAUUUUGCCUAUGAUUGCUUAACUUUUUUGUAUAUUUUGUCUGAUGAACAUAUUAUAUUUACAAUGUUAAUUUCCUUAUUUAUUGGGUUUA
Molecule: long non-coding RNA, 1052 nt
Filed under: Glycine max (soybean)
Lineage: Eukaryota; Viridiplantae; Streptophyta; Magnoliopsida; Fabales; Fabaceae
Description: long non-coding RNA (GMAX_LNC000801)
Source: RNAcentral